RNAcentral lists this ribosomal RNA (253 nucleotides) under uncultured bacterium. RNAcentral's name for it is "partial 16S ribosomal RNA". It matches the Rfam family "Bacterial small subunit ribosomal RNA", at positions 524 to 776 of the family's 1533-position model. The record is from RNAcentral.
UACGUAGGGGGCUAGCGUUGUCCGGAAUCAUUGGGCGUAAAGCGCGUGUAGGCGGCCCGGUAAGUCCGCUGUGAAAGUCGGGGGCUCAACCCUCGAAAGCCGGUGGAUACUGUCGGGCUCGAGUACGGAAGAGGCGAGUGGAAUUCCUGGUGUAGCGGUGAAAUGCGCAGAUAUCAGGAGGAACACCGAUUGCGAAGGCGGACCUCUGGGCCAGUACUGACGCUGAGGAGCGAAAGCGUGGGUAGCAAACAGG